AACUUUUGACAAUGGCUCUCUUGGCUCUCGCAUCGAUGAAGAACGCAGCGAAAUGCGAUAAGUAAUGUGAAUUGCAGAAUUCAGUGCAUCAUCGAAUCUUUGAACGCACCUUGCACCCUUUGGCAUUCCGAAGGGUAUGCUCGUUUGAGUGUCAUUGUACUCUCACACUCCCGAUCUUGUUGGGAGCGGUGGACUUGGGUGUUGCUGCUUACCGUGGCUCACCUCAAAUGGAUUCGUGCAUCUCUUGGUUGGACAUAGUACGGCGUGAUAAGUGUCUUCGCCGGCGCCUCACUAGAGGGUGGCCGAUCGGGAGCUCUGUGCUUCUAACCGUCUUCGGACAACAACUGACAACUUGACCUCAAAUCGAGUAGGACUGCCCGCUGAACUUAAGCAUAUCAAUAAGCGGAGGCU
This 411-nucleotide unclassified non-coding RNA is filed under the name uncultured Sebacinaceae. RNAcentral's name for it is "sequence contains ITS2". The stretch from base 1 to 154 matches the Rfam family "5.8S ribosomal RNA". Lineage: Eukaryota; Fungi; Basidiomycota; Agaricomycetes; Sebacinales; Sebacinaceae. The record is from RNAcentral.